RNAcentral lists this long non-coding RNA (1358 nucleotides) under Homo sapiens (human). RNAcentral describes it as "PREDICTED lncRNA (TCONS_00169702)". The record is from RNAcentral. Lineage: Eukaryota; Metazoa; Chordata; Mammalia; Primates; Hominidae.
AUUUUUAUUGGUGUCCCUCUCUCCAGAACCAGGAAGAGAAAAAUGACUUCAGAGAUGGCUCCCUACCAGAGAUGGCAUUGAAAUGAGUCUACGACCACAACAAAAUUACGGAGAAAGUUUCUUCCAGGGAACAAGUUAAAUAGUUCAGCUAUCUUCACAGCCAUGGAAAUCCACUUUCCUGGAAAUCUUCAUUGGGAAGAGCAUAUAGGUCUCAGCCAUCAGAGCAGCACAGAUAUGGGGACAAAGGCCCAAUGUUGCUGACCUCACUGGAGAAGUUGAACACCAAGGACAGUCCUAAAGAAUUAGUUAAAGAUCACACAGAGAUGUGUGGAAGGCAGCAGAACCAGUCCUUCCUAAGUGUCUUGGUGGAGGCAUAGGAUGAGGAUGAGGAGGGGCAUAGGAUGCCAGUCCUAUCUCAAGAAGCCAUGUGAUGAUUGCAAAAGGAAGGGACACAAGAUCUGCUCAUUCAGAUCCACAGGUAAACCAGGAAAGGAGGAGAAAUUUGGAGAGGACUGUUUGUGACGAUGGAGUCAGACAGUAGUUUCAAUUUGGAGUCCUUAUUGGGAUAUAACUGCUCCUUGGGCUGACUCGCACUGGAGAAAUGCCAUUUCAUUAGCAUCUCAUUAAAUAAGUUUUCUCCUUUUUCUUCCUCAGCUUUGUCUCUGUCUUCCUUUUCUUCUUCUUCCGCUUAAUAUUUUUUGUUUUUUCUGUUGCUCUUCUUCCUAUUCUCCCCCUUUUCUUAUCUCCUGAAUUACUGCCAAUUACCAGCACAAGGGGGACCUCCCAAUUGAUGAAUGUAGAAACCCCAAAUUGUGAUUUUGAUGAUCCCUAAGGUUUGUUACUCUCUUCUUAUAGUCAACAGUCAUUCCCAUUCACUUCCACUUCAGUACUCUCUUCUAAAUCUCAUUUUAAAUCUCUCCAUUUUAAACCUCUUUUCCUCAUGAUUUAUAAACAUGGGAUGUCAGAGACUUUCUUCAGGCUGGUUCAUUUAAGUAUUAAAACAUUUCAUCAGUGUGCAACUGCCUUCAAAUUUCAACUUUCAUGGCCUGUGCUUUUGCUAAAUUAAUAGUCAGCACUUCCAUAGCAUUUGUGAUUUUCAAAGCAAUCUGCAAGCAUUAAUUAAUGCUAAUGCUACCCUAAGAGAAUGCUGUAACUAGCUAACUGACUGAACUUUAUCUCAAAUUAUUUUUAAAUGGUUUUCAACUUGGGAGGGAAGCUGGAGUGAAUGUGCAAGAGUGUAUAGGAUUUGGUAUCAUUUGCUGCCUCCUAAAAGUAAUGAUGCAGUAAAUUGAAGUGAAUCAUCCUCAAAAGGAUAUUAAGGUUUGAUCCACCUGGAAUUAAUCAUCUCUAAGAAUUAC